UACGUAGGGUGCGAGCGUUGUCCGGAACUAUUGGGCGUAAAGGGCUCGUAGGCGGUUUGUCGCGUCGACUGUGAAAACCUACAGCUUAACUGUGGGCUUGCAGUCGAUACGGGCAGACUUGAGUUCGGUAGGGGAGACUGGAAUUCCUGGUGUAGCGGUGGAAUGCGCAGAUAUCAGGAGGAACACCGGUGGCGAAGGCGGGUCUCUGGGCAGUAACUGACGCUGAGGAGCGAAAGCGUGGGGAGCGAACAGG
This 253-nucleotide ribosomal RNA is filed under the name uncultured bacterium. RNAcentral's name for it is "partial 16S ribosomal RNA". It matches the Rfam family "Bacterial small subunit ribosomal RNA", at positions 524 to 776 of the family's 1533-position model. The record is from RNAcentral.